GGCGAACGCUGGCGGCGUGCCUAAUACAUGCAAGUCGAACGCUGAAGCUUGGUGCUUGCACCGAGCGGAUGAGUUGCGAACGGGUGAGUAACGCGUAGGUAACCUGCCUGGUAGCGGGGGAUAACUAUUGGAAACGAUAGCUAAUACCGCAUAAGAGUAGAUGUUGCAUGACAUUUGCUUAAAAGGUGCAAUUGCAUCACUACCAGAUGGACCUGCGUUGUAUUAGCUAGUUGGUGAGGUAACGGCUCACCAAGGCAACGAUACAUAGCCGACCUGAGAGGGUGAUCGGCCACACUGGGACUGAGACACGGCCCAGACUCCUACGGGAGGCAGCAGUAGGGAAUCUUCGGCAAUGGACGGAAGUCUGACCGAGCAACGCCGCGUGAGUGAAGAAGGUUUUCGGAUCGUAAGGCUCUGUUGUAAGAGAAGAACGAGUGUGAGAGUGGAAAGUUCACACUGUGACGGUAUCUUACCAGAAAGGGACGGCUAACUACGUG
Molecule: ribosomal RNA, 497 nt
Filed under: uncultured bacterium
Lineage: Bacteria
Description: partial 16S ribosomal RNA
Rfam family: Bacterial small subunit ribosomal RNA
Source: RNAcentral